This 253-nucleotide ribosomal RNA is filed under the name Roseburia intestinalis L1-82. RNAcentral's name for it is "partial 16S ribosomal RNA". It matches the Rfam family "Bacterial small subunit ribosomal RNA", at positions 524 to 776 of the family's 1533-position model. Lineage: Bacteria; Bacillati; Bacillota; Clostridia; Lachnospirales; Lachnospiraceae. The record is from RNAcentral.
UACGUAUGGUGCAAGCGUUAUCCGGAUUUACUGGGUGUAAAGGGAGCGCAGGCAGUACGGCAAGUCUGAUGUGAAAGCCCGGGGCUCAACCCCGGUACUGCAUUGGAAACUGUCGGACUAGAGUGUCGGAGGGGUAAGCGGAAUUCCUAGUGUAGCGGUGAAAUGCGUAGAUAUUAGGAGGAACACCAGUGGCGAAGGCGGCUUACUGGACGAUUACUGACGCUGAGGCUCGAAAGCGUGGGGAGCAAACAGG